AUCAUCAAUGUUCUAAAGGUUGCUUUGAUUUUCUAGGGAUACCAUAGCUUUGUAGGGUGCCAUCUUUUCUUAGUUUCCCAUGUGACAGAGUUAGGUUAUUAGUUUCCCAUCACUGGCAGUGCUUCAUUUUCUGAAUGUGAUACGAUAUUGGUUUUUUACUAGUUUGAGUUUGAUCUUUCUCCAAUUGAAAUACCUAAACUGUCGACUGGUAUUGUGCAUGCAUAAUCUUUGGGACGAAUUGGUAUGACCUCUGUAUGUUCUGACUGCUACAAAAUGUUGAACUAAAUCACUUGGUCUUAACAGGAACUUGGAGAGGCCUAUCAAGUUCUUAGUGAUCCUGGGAAAAAGGAGGCUUAUGAUAAGUAUGGAAAGGAGGGUAUUCCCCAGUACGUUUUGUGCACUCGGUACACUGAAGUUGGAAUAUCUGUAGGUUAGAAAGGAAAUCCAUGUAAUAUUUGUAGAUUUGAAAGGCAAUCCAUUUCCAUAAAUGCUGAGAUAUAUCUAAGCAUGUAAGCGGCAUACUAUGUCAAAUCCCAAGAAUACCAUCAUCGACUUGUUAGUGUUCAUAUGCAAAUAUAAAUACAAAAGGGCCUUUCAUUGACUAAUGUUAUAGGAAAUGGCAUCAUACUAUGCAGUCAAAUCUGCUUGUUAGUAUGUUAGGUUUAUUAUUAGUUCUUUCACCCGUUCAGCAUUGUUCAAUUUUGGGUUAUAUACAGGGCUUGGAUUGAAUGAAGAGGUUCGACGAAGCUAAAGCUGAACUUGAGGAAAUUGUUUACUACCUACGAGAUCCUAAGGCCGCACUUGAAGAAAUCUUAUAUCAGUUUGAGGAAAAACUCCAAGCUGAAAGAGAGGAAGCUGCUAGGAAGCAGGAAGAGUUGCAAGCACAACUACAAGCUCUACAGGCCGCACUUGAAGAAAACCAAAGUUUGCUGCGCCAGGCCCAAGAGGAAGUGAAGGGGAUGCAUACCAAGUUUGAAGAGACCAAUGCACUGCUACGAGCUGUCCUGAAACUUUAGAAAGAUUGAGGUAGGGAUGCAUACCAAGUCUGAGGAUGAUGCCUUUGCUUAAGGUUUUUCUACCUUGCUAGAACAUAUCUGUGGUUAGAACUUUGUCAGAACUACGUGCAAUCUGUUUGAAUGCUUCAAACCUUUGUGGUGGAACCUUUGUAUGUUUGAACCUCUAUUGUGGAAGAACUAGUGUGCUGGAAUUGUGUAUGACUUGUGAUGAGAAUGUUGUGUAUGAUGGCUUUUCUGUGUA
Long non-coding RNA from Zea mays, 1257 nucleotides. RefSeq lists it as uncharacterized. The record is from RefSeq and is a predicted model, not a curated record. The transcript has 2 exons. Lineage: Eukaryota; Viridiplantae; Streptophyta; Magnoliopsida; Poales; Poaceae.